RNAcentral lists this long non-coding RNA (539 nucleotides) under Theobroma cacao (cacao). Its description in RNAcentral is "long non-coding RNA (TCAC_LNC002452)". The record is from RNAcentral. Lineage: Eukaryota; Viridiplantae; Streptophyta; Magnoliopsida; Malvales; Malvaceae.
AGAAGAAAAGCAAUUUCAAGGUGUAGACUUCCACUACAUAUGUUUUAGUAUUUCAGUCAUACCUCUCUAUACAAAGUUUCAAAUGAAGUGAUUCUUAGAUCAUUGGAAAGAUAAGAGAAAACUCUACAACUUUCAUGUUUACUAAUUAGCCCAAUUCAACAUGGAAGAUGGUUAAAAAUUAUGUCGAAGUUGAAUCACUGUAGCAAUCCUAGAGCAAUUACGAUUUCUGCUAAUUAAUGCGUAGUCUAAUGAGGAAAUCCUGAUUGGAAAUGACUUCUUUCUUCAUCCAACUUGGCCUAACUUCAAAGCCCUACAAAAAAUAACUUUUGAAAGACUUUUAGGAAGAGAGAACGAAACAUCAGAUUGCCGGCUGAGAGUCAAGCCACAAAGUCAUUGAAGCUAAGAAGAAUUUGAAGGAUUCAAGGAGAUUUGGAUAUCUAGAAUAUAAUUCUUGAGUUUUUGUAUCCCUUUUAUUCUCUUAUUCUCUUGGUUUUGUUUUUAAUGUUUAAAUUUCAUUUGAUGAUGAUGUGUGACUCGAU